CGGACGGGUGAGUAACGCGUGGAUAACCUGCCUCAUACAGGGAGAUAACAGUUGGAAACGGCUGUUAAUACCGCAUAAGCGCACGAAAUCGCAUGGUUUUGUGUGAAAAACUCCGGUGGUAUGAGAUGGGUCCGCGUCUGAUUAGCUAGUUGGCAGGGUAACGGCCUACCAAGGCGACGAUCAGUAGCCGGCCUGAGAGGGUGUACGGCCACAUUGGGACUGAGACACGGCCCAAACUCCUACGGAAGGCAGCAG
RNAcentral lists this ribosomal RNA (255 nucleotides) under uncultured bacterium. Its description in RNAcentral is "partial 16S ribosomal RNA". It matches the Rfam family "Bacterial small subunit ribosomal RNA", at positions 99 to 354 of the family's 1533-position model. The record is from RNAcentral.